RNAcentral lists this ribosomal RNA (520 nucleotides) under uncultured Glomus. Its description in RNAcentral is "SSU rRNA". It matches the Rfam family "Eukaryotic small subunit ribosomal RNA", at positions 569 to 1088 of the family's 1831-position model. The record is from RNAcentral. Lineage: Eukaryota; Fungi; Glomeromycota; Glomeromycetes; Glomerales; Glomeraceae.
AGCAGCCGCGGUAAUUCCAGCUCCAAUAGCGUAUAUUAAAGUUGUUGCAGUUAAAAAAGCUCGUAGUUGAAUUUCGGGAUCAAUAUGUUGGUCGUGCCUUGGUACGUACUGGCAUUAUCGAUUCCUACCUUCUGAAGAACCUCGAUGUCAUUAAUUUGGUGUCUUGGGGAAUCAGGACUGUUACUUUGAAAAAAUUAGAGUGUUUAAAGCAGGCUCGCGCUUGAAUACAUUAGCAUGGAAUAAUGAAAUAGGACGUUUGAUUCUAUUUUGUUGGUUUCUAGGAUCGACGUAAUGAUUAAUAGGGAUAGUUGGGGGCAUUAGUAUUCAAUUGUCAGAGGUGAAAUUCUUGGAUUUAUUGAAGACUAACUACUGCGAAAGCAUUUGCCAAGGAUGUUUUCAUUAAUCAAGAACGAAAGUUAGGGGAUCGAAGACGAUCAGAUACCGUCGUAGUCUUAACCAUAAACUAUGCCGACUAGGGAUCGGAUGAUGUUAAUUUUUUAAUGUACUCAUUCGGACGUCC